Molecule: ribosomal RNA, 634 nt
Filed under: uncultured fungus
Lineage: Eukaryota; Fungi
Description: eukaryotic LSU rRNA
Rfam family: Eukaryotic large subunit ribosomal RNA
Source: RNAcentral
CCCGCUGAACUUAAGCAUAUCAAUAAGCGGAGGAAAAGAAACUAACAAGGAUUCCCCUAGUAACUGCGAGUGAAGCGGGAAAAGCUCAAAUUUGAAAUCUGGCGGUUCUUGACCGUCCGAGUUGUAAUCUAGAGAAGUGUUACCUGUGCUGGACCGUGUAAAAGUCUUCUGGAAUGGAGCAUCAUAGAGGGUGAGAAUCCCGUCUUUGACACGGACUACCUGUACAUUAUGGUGCGCUCUCAAAGAGUCGAGUUGUUUGGGAAUGCAGCUCAAAAUGGGUGGUAAAUGCCAUCUAAAGCUAAAUAUUGGCGAGAGACCGAUAGCGAACAAGUACCGUGAGGGAAAGAUGAAAAGCACUUUGGAAAGAGAGUUAAACAGUACGUGAAAUUGUUGAAAGGGAAACGUUUGAAGUCAGUCGCGUCGGCCGAGACUCAACCUUGCUUCUGCUCGGUGCACUUCUCGGUUGACGGGUCAGCAUCAAUUUUGACCGCCGGAUAAAGGUCGGGGGAAUGUGGCAUCCUUCGGGAUGUGUUAUAGACCUCGAUUCGGAUACGGCGAUUGGGAUUGAGGAACUCGGCGCUUUGCGUCCAGGAUGCUGGCAUAAUGGCUUUAAGCGGCCCGUCUUGAAACACGG